This is a long non-coding RNA of Micropterus dolomieu (smallmouth bass), 541 nucleotides long. RefSeq lists it as uncharacterized. NCBI's taxonomy places the organism in Eukaryota, Metazoa, Chordata, Actinopteri, Centrarchiformes, Centrarchidae. The transcript has 2 exons. The record is from RefSeq and is a predicted model, not a curated record.
UAUGUGGCACCUGUUCCUACCUCAGGAGAAGCAUCACAAUCUCCAAACGCAUCAGCAAAGUCUGUCGGACUUUUCCUCAGAGUCUGGUCAGCAGGCAGUGUGUUGUCAUUGUAAGAUGAAACGAACUUAAAGUCACUGGUCCUAGAACCCGUUGUCAGGUAGGCGUCAUAAUUGUAAGUGCUGCGUAAAGUUCCUGUGCCGUCAACAUCUGCGUAAUUAGGAGGGAGAUAAGCGCUGGGGAUGGCGACUGCUCCAUCAAACAACAGUCUGGGCUUUCUCCUGCGACAAAACCUCACACCCAGGAUGAUGAUAAUGAAGGUCAGGAAAAAGGUGGACACAGACACCAGCGCGAUGAUCAGAUCCACGUUUCAUCUCCUCCGGGAUAGAGUAGCUCACGUCUCCGUGAACGAGGUGGAGGGCAAGAAAAAUUACAACAAGGCCGCGGAGCAGCGCAAAUCUGUUGUUCCCCAUUAUAACGACGAAACAAAAGACCACUUAAAUGUAAGUUUUCAACAAAAUAAAAUCCACGUUGCAUUCGUGA